UCUAUGAAAAUAAGCGAUAUUUAAGGGGAAAAACAGGGAUUUCUAUGAAAAUAAGCGAUAUUUGAGGUUAAAAACAGGGAUUUCUAUGAAAAUAACCGAUAUUUUAGGUUAAAAACAGGGAUUUCAAUGAAAAUAAGCGAUAUUUAAGGUUAAAAACAGGGAUUUCAAUGAAAAUAAGCGAUAUUUAAGGUUAAAAACAGGGAUUUCUAUGAAAAUAAGCGAUAUUUUAGGUUAAAAACAGGGAUUUCUAUGAAAAUAAGCGAUAUUUGAGGUUAAAAACAGGGAUUUCUAUGAAAAUAAGCGAUAUUUAAGGUUAAAAACAGGGAUUUCUAUGAAAAUAAGCGAUAUUUGAGGUUAAAAACAGGGAUUUCUAUGAAAAUAAGCGAUAUUUGAGGUUAAAAACAGGGAUUUCUAUGAAAAUAAGCGAUAUUUUAGGUUAAAAACAGGGAUUUCUAUGAAAAUAAGCGAUAUUUAAGGUUAAAAACAGGGAUUUCUAUGAAAAUAAGCGAUAUUUGAGGGGAAAAACUGGGAUUUCUAUGAAAAUAAGCGAUAUUUAAGGUUAAAAACAGGGAUUUCUAUGAAAAUAAGCGAUAUUUUAGGUUAAAAACAGGGAUUUCUAUGAAAAUAAGCGAUAUUUAAGGUUAAAAACUGGGAUUUCUAUGAAAAUAAGCGAUAUUUAAGGGGAAAAACAGGGAUUUCUAUGAAAAUAAGCGAUAUUUGAGGUUAAAAACAGGGAUUUCUAGGAAAAU
This is a long non-coding RNA of Tympanuchus pallidicinctus (lesser prairie-chicken), 749 nucleotides long. RefSeq lists it as uncharacterized. The record is from RefSeq and is a predicted model, not a curated record. NCBI's taxonomy places the organism in Eukaryota, Metazoa, Chordata, Aves, Galliformes, Phasianidae. The transcript has 6 exons.